This 497-nucleotide ribosomal RNA is filed under the name uncultured bacterium. RNAcentral's name for it is "partial 16S ribosomal RNA". It matches the Rfam family "Bacterial small subunit ribosomal RNA", at positions 28 to 507 of the family's 1533-position model. The record is from RNAcentral.
GACGAACGCUGGCGGCGUGCCUAAUACAUGCAAGUUGAGCGCUGAAGGUUGGUACUUGUACCAACUGGAUGAGCAGCGAACGGGUGAGUAACGCGUGGGGAAUCUGCCUUUGAGCGGGGGACAACAUUUGGAAACGAAUGCUAAUACCGCAUAAAAACUUUAAACACAAGUUUUAAGUUUGAAAGAUGCAAUUGCAUCACUCAAAGAUGAUCCCGCGUUGUAUUAGCUAGUUGGUGAGGUAAAGGCUCACCAAGGCGAUGAUACAUAGCCGACCUGAGAGGGUGAUCGGCCACAUUGGGACUGAGACACGGCCCAAACUCCUACGGGAGGCAGCAGUAGGGAAUCUUCGGCAAUGGACGAAAGUCUGACCGAGCAACGCCGCGUGAGUGAAGAAGGUUUUCGGAUCGUAAAACUCGGUUGGUAGAGAAGAACGUUGGUGAGAGUGGAAAGCUCAUCAAGUGACGGUAACUACCCAGAAGGGGACGGCUAACUACGUG